This 105-nucleotide ribosomal RNA is filed under the name Triticum aestivum (bread wheat). RNAcentral's name for it is "partial small subunit ribosomal RNA". Lineage: Eukaryota; Viridiplantae; Streptophyta; Magnoliopsida; Poales; Poaceae. The record is from RNAcentral.
CGCUUUAACAACAAAGCGCUCAUCCCUUGUUCUUUCGCUUGGAAGCUCAAUCCCCUCGCUUCUUCUUUUGCUUCUACUCUCGUGCUUUCAGCAAGUUCUUACUAG